AUGCAUGUGGGACAAAUGAACCCCUUGAUGUUUGGAGAUCUGUGCCCUGCAACUUGUUACAGAACUACUACAGGCACGGCAUACCUCCAAUUCAUGGAACUUCAAACCACCACACAAAAUGUUCAGCUGAGUGGAACUUAUGAUAAAUGGAUUUAUCCUUGGGCAUCUGACUUUUCCUCCAUCAAGAUGUACAAACUACUCAAACAGGGAGUCCCUGCUCCACCAAUAUUUGCUAAAAUAUGGAAAAAUGCAUCCAUGCUCAAAUACAAGAUAUUCUUCUGGCUCCUUAUGCAUGACAGAGUCAACUCAAGGAAUCUACUCCACAGGAAAUCUUUUCACUUGCCAUCCUAUAAUUGUGCACUCUGCCAUGCACACACUGAGGAAACAUCACACCACUUGUUUUGGGACUGCGAUUUUGCUCUCAGCUGCUGGGACUCAAUUAUCACAAACAUAAAUAGAGGAACCUCCCUCUAUGAUGAGAUCAUCAUAUUCGCUCAAGCUUUACCUGCUCCCAUUGCGAUGGAAAUCCUUAUAAUGGAUGUUGGAACAUUUGGAUACAAAGAAAUGGGAGAAUUUUUAGAGCACAACCACAUUCAGUUCAAUCAUGGAGAAGACUAUUGA
This 621-nucleotide ribosomal RNA is filed under the name Triticum aestivum (bread wheat). Its description in RNAcentral is "partial small subunit ribosomal RNA". The record is from RNAcentral. Lineage: Eukaryota; Viridiplantae; Streptophyta; Magnoliopsida; Poales; Poaceae.